GGUCACAUUCCGUUAAAACAACGGUUCCCUUACGUCCACCGAAGUUAAGGAAUGUCGAGCCUAGUCAGUACCUACAUGGGCGACCGCUUGGGAUUACCAGGUGUUGUAAG
Acanthosepion pharaonis is the source of this 110-nucleotide non-coding RNA. The record is from the annotation of a GenBank genome assembly. Lineage: Eukaryota; Metazoa; Mollusca; Cephalopoda; Sepiida; Sepiidae.